UGGGGAAUAUUGGACAAUGGGCGAAAGCCUGAUCCAGCCAUGCCGCGUGUGUGAAGAAGGUCUUCGGAUUGUAAAGCACUUUAAGUUGGGAGGAAGGGCAGUAAAUUAAUACUUUGCUGUUUUGACGUUACCGACAGAAUAAGCACCGGCUAACUCUGUGCCAGCAGCCGCGGUAAUACAGAGGGUGCAAGCGUUAAUCGGAAUUACUGGGCGUAAAGCGCGCGUAGGUGGUUCGUUAAGUUGGAUGUGAAAUCCCCGGGCUCAACCUGGGAACUGCAUUCAAAACUGACGAGCUAGAGUAUGGUAGAGGGUGGUGGAAUUUCCUGUGUAGCGGUGAAAUGCGUAGAUAUAGGAAGGAACACCAGUGGCGAAGGCGACCACCUGGACUGAUACUGACACUGAGGUGCGAAAGCGUGGGGGAGCAAAA
RNAcentral lists this ribosomal RNA (427 nucleotides) under uncultured bacterium. Its description in RNAcentral is "partial 16S ribosomal RNA". It matches the Rfam family "Bacterial small subunit ribosomal RNA", at positions 355 to 773 of the family's 1533-position model. The record is from RNAcentral.